Non-coding RNA from Paragonimus heterotremus, 81 nucleotides. The record is from the annotation of a GenBank genome assembly. NCBI's taxonomy places the organism in Eukaryota, Metazoa, Platyhelminthes, Trematoda, Plagiorchiida, Troglotrematidae.
GGCUUCCUAGCUUACCUGGUAGAGCGCUUGCCACGUUGAGGCAUGCUGUUUCAGUCGCUGGUUUGAAUCCAGCGGAAGCCC